RNAcentral lists this non-coding RNA (28 nucleotides) under Rattus norvegicus (Norway rat). Lineage: Eukaryota; Metazoa; Chordata; Mammalia; Rodentia; Muridae. The record is from RNAcentral.
UGCUGAUGAGUCAGAGCCAGGCCUCCCU